Molecule: ribosomal RNA, 492 nt
Filed under: uncultured bacterium
Lineage: Bacteria
Description: partial 16S ribosomal RNA
Rfam family: Bacterial small subunit ribosomal RNA
Source: RNAcentral
AGUGAACGCUGGCGGUAGGCCUAACACAUGCAAGUCGAACGGCAGCACAGUAAGAGCUUGCUCUUACGGGUGGCGAGUGGCGGACGGGUGAGGAAUACAUCGGAAUCUACUUUUUCGUGGGGGAUAACGUAGGGAAACUUACGCUAAUACCGCAUACGACCUACGGGUGAAAGCAGGGGAUCUUCGGACCUUGCGCGAUUGAAUGAGCCGAUGUCGGAUUAGCUAGUUGGCGGGGUAAAGGCCCACCAAGGCGACGAUCCGUAGCUGGUCUGAGAGGAUGAUCAGCCACACUGGAACUGAGGCACGGUCCAGGCUCCUACGGGAGGCAGCAGUGGGGAAUAUUGGACAAUGGGCGCAAGCCUGAUCCAGCCAUACCGCGUGGGUGAAGAAGGCCUUCGGGUUGUAAAGCCCUUUUGUUGGGAAAGAAAAGCAGCAGGUUAAUACCCCGCUGUUCUGACGGUACCCAAAGAAUAAGCACCGGCUAACUUCGUG